RNAcentral lists this long non-coding RNA (477 nucleotides) under Nicotiana benthamiana. RNAcentral describes it as "long non-coding RNA (NBEN_LNC026702)". Lineage: Eukaryota; Viridiplantae; Streptophyta; Magnoliopsida; Solanales; Solanaceae. The record is from RNAcentral.
GUCUCUCCCUGCCCUUUAGAAGAUCUCAGGGCUUCCGUCCAGUUUGGAUCUUCAGAGCUUGAUGCGCCCGAAGGAGCCAUCAUCAUCUUACCGAAAUAGGUUUCGGCACUCAUGACGGCCCCGACAAUUAAAAGAAAGGACAAGGUCAGACUUCCGGGGAACCCCUUUAUUAAGAAGGAAGUGAAGGUGUACCUCCCUAGAGAGCCCCCAACUCUAUAACAUUUGGUCUCAAACAACUCUAUUUUAUCAAGUUUCAGGCAAAUAUAAUAAAAGCACAUAAUAGAGGAAGAAGAAGUAGGAAGGAAUAGAAAAAAUGACGGACUCUAUUGAUCAGACUCGUUAGUUCCGCAGCUCGGGGAGAAAGUUCCAUAAUUCAAUUCAAGAUAGAUAGAAGGGAGAAUGCCGCUUUAGAAAAAAAGAAAAAUCAUAAGGAAACAUUAUGAAAAGAAAAAUCUAUCUCAAGAGAGAAGUCUAUUA